AUGACUGAUCAUAUGACUGUAUUUUGCACCCUUAGUUUUAAAAGAUGCAUUACACUCAUUGCAACUAAACUAUUUUUCCCUCGUAUGCCUGAUCAUGUGUUGACACAUAUCACUCUUUCGUUUAAAAGAUGCAUUGCACAAAGUGCAACUAAACGGUCUUUCACUCGUAUGACUAAUCAUAUGACUGUAUUUUGCACCCUUAGUUUUAAAAGAUGCAUUACACUCAUUGCAACUAAACGAUUUUUCCCUCGUAUGCCUGAUCAUGUGUUGACACAUAUCACUCUUUCGUUUAAAAGAUGCAUUGCACAAAGUGCAACUAAACGGUCUUUCACUCGUAUGACUGAUCAUAUGACUGUAUCUUUCACCCUUAGUUUUAAAAGAUGCAUUACACUCACUGCAAGUAAAGGGUUUCAAACUCGUAUGACUCAUCAAAUGACUAACCAAAUCUAUCUUUAUUUUAAAAGAUGCAUUACACUCACUGCAAGUAAACGGUCUUUCACUCGUAUGCCUCAUCAUGUGUUGACACAAAUUACCCUUUUGUUUAAAAGAUGCAUUGCACAUAGUGCAACUGAACGGUCUUUCACUCGUAUGACUGAUCAUAUGACUGUAUUUUGCACCCUUAGUGUUAAAAGAUGCAUUACACUCAUUGCAACUAAACGAUUUUUCCCUCGUAUGCCUGAUCAUGUGUUGACACAUAUCACCCUUUCGUUUAAAAGAUUCAUUGCACAAAGUGCAACUGAACGGUCUAUCACUCGUAUGACUGAUCAUAUGACUGUAUUUUUCACCCUUAGUUUUAAAAGAUGCAUUACACUCACUGCAAGGAAAGGGUUUCAAACUCGUAUGGCUCAUCAUAUGAUAAACCAAACCGUUCUUCCUUUUAAAAGAUGCAUUACACUCACUGCAAGUAAACGGUCUUUCACUCGUAUGCCUGAUCAUGUGUUGACACAAAUUACCCUUUCGUUUAAAAGAUGCAUUGCACAUAGUGCAACUGAACGGUCUUUCACUUGUAUGACUGAUCAUAUGACUGUAUUUUUCACCCUUAGUUUUAAAAGAUGCUUUACACUCACGGCAGGUAAAGAGUUUUAAGCCCGUAUGACUCAUCACAUGAAGAACCAAACCUUUCUUCGUUUUAAAAGAUGCACUGCACUCAUUGCAACUAAACGAUCUUUCACUCGUAUGCCUGAUCAUGUGUUGACCCAGGUCACCGUUUCGUUUAAAAGAUGCAUUGCACAUCGUGCAAUUGAACGGUCUUUCAUCUGUAUGAACGAGUCUAUGUCUCUCUAAAUAACGCUUUGUUUUGAAAGAUAAAUUGCACUCAUUGCAACUAAACGAUUUUUCCCUCGUAUGCCUGACCAUGUGUUUACCCAACUCUUCCUUACUUUUAAAAGAUGCAUUGCACUCAGUACAGAUAAACGGUCUUUUAUCAUCGUGACUGAUCAUAUGGGAUUUAAAUCGUCCUCAUGUUUAAAAGAUUCAUUACAGUUGAUGCAAUUGAAUAAUUUCUCAUUGCUAGAAACAACUACGUUUCGACUAAGAUCGUCAUUACGGGCUGAAGUUCCGCGACCCCCGUUGCUCCGGAAAGACUUUUUACCACUCGGGCCUUUAUCAUGGACCCUUUUGCGGAGGAAGGUUGGGUCUCCACGAGAUCCGGACCGCGUCUCAACAUUCCUCUGCAGCAAAGACGAUCCUGAAUGAGCUGUGUCGUUGUUUUGCGGGUCUCCUCUACUAACGGUGGUAGAAUAUUCAUUGGAAUUUCCUAUGUUUUCAGGAUGAGGUGCUGUUCCGUCCGUCAGCAGUGCCGAACUUCCAGAAUUCUUAUUUGAAUGCAAAAGCGCCUGGCCAGAUUUCGACGGUACGUUCCCUCUCGAGUGAUUCGGGGUACGUCCGUCGAAAAGCGAAAUUCUGCCGUCCUCGCUACAAUAUUUGCACUCGCAAGAUGCAGAAUUGGUAUGAGCUUUCCCAAGUCGACGAUCGGAUCUAGAGAAAAGAUCCACAAUUUUCACGGAGAGCUUCUGUGAUUUUACCAAGUCAGAUUCUGAGAAAGUUUCAGCAAUGCUGCUCGAUUCAGCAGUCAAGUUUGUAGCACGCACUUCUUCGACUUUGAGUACGGUUGGGACGAGACACUCGGUCACGAAACCGACUUUUUCAUCCAGAUCCUCUGCCUCAGAUAUUAGAGGCAUCCGAGACGAUUCAUCCUCUGUCUUAACACUACUGUGCAGUAAAGGCGCUGGCGAUGAGUCCUCAUCUCCGCUGUCAGCUUCCUCUUUGAUCAGGGGAACAAACGGUUCUGCACACUUAGAUUGGGGUGGUAUCGAUUUAGCAUGGUCAAAAGUUGCGAGAAACCCACCUUCACUUUCUUCGGGGUGCAACCCUUCUUCUCCGAUUGAUUCUUCUUUGAUUUGGGAUUUGGGGUGGAAAUUCAUCCGAGGACAUCGUUCGGAACCGUCCAGUUGGGGUGCCAUCAUUCCAGAGGGGAAAUUCAUCUUCAGUUUUUUCGGCUUACUGGAUGGAUGAGCCUUUGCUCAAAUCUUUCAUAGCGAUUUUUUCGGCUCAAAAUUGAGAGUGUCAUCGACGGAAUAUGGUUGUGAACGUCCGCGGCGCAGUGGCAUAUCUGUGAGCAGAGGUACAAGACACGCGAGCAUUACUUAUGCGGUUAAGUAAAAAAUAAAAUUGAAAAGGAAAAAACACUAAAAAAGUUCACUUUGGA
This 2707-nucleotide long non-coding RNA is filed under the name Bemisia tabaci. RNAcentral's name for it is "lncRNA ENSSSA1NGG008726". The record is from RNAcentral. Lineage: Eukaryota; Metazoa; Arthropoda; Insecta; Hemiptera; Aleyrodidae.